CCUACGGGAGGCUGCAGUGGGGAAUAUUGGACAAUGGGCGAAAGCCUGAUCCAGCCAUGCCGCGUGUGUGAAGAAGGCCUUCGGGUUGUAAAGCACUUUCAGUGGGGAAGAAAGCCUUGGGGCUAAUACCCUCGAGGAAGGACAUCACCCACAAGAAGCACCGGCUAACUCCGUGCCAGCAGCCGCGGUAAUACGGAGGGUGCGAGCGUUAAUCGGAAUUACUGGGCGUAAAGCGCGCGUAGGCGGUCUGAUAAGCCGGUUGUGAAAGCCCCGGGCUCAACCUGGGAACGGCAUCCGGAACUGUCAGGCUAGAGUGCAGGAGAGGAAGGUAGAAUUCCCGGUGUAGCGGUGAAAUGCGUAGAGAUCGGGAGGAAUACCAGUGGCGAAGGCGGCCUUCUGGACUGACACUGACGCUGAGGUGCGAAAGCGUGGGUAGCAAACAGGAUUAGAUACCCCAGUAGUC
RNAcentral lists this ribosomal RNA (463 nucleotides) under Vreelandella stevensii. Its description in RNAcentral is "partial 16S ribosomal RNA". It matches the Rfam family "Bacterial small subunit ribosomal RNA", at positions 338 to 795 of the family's 1533-position model. Lineage: Bacteria; Pseudomonadati; Pseudomonadota; Gammaproteobacteria; Oceanospirillales; Halomonadaceae. The record is from RNAcentral.